GCUAAAGAUGCUUUUAUUAGUAUCUGUUAUAACACAUCUCAUUAACGUAUUUAAUGUUUUUCAGUUCUGUGCUUAGACCCUCUCUUGUUUGCCUUCCACUUACUUAUCUGAUUCUCUUCCCUCUCUAGCUGGUCUUCUGCCUUCACAUUUUCUCCCCAAAGUUGAGUGUUUUAGGGUUCUCACAGGAGUAAGGUGAAGGCUUGUACUUUACCAGUGUCUAUACCACUGAACAAAAGUGUGGAGUGUCUUGGUAUUUGCAUUUGUAAAACAGUUGGAAUUCAAGAAACAGGUGCCGUUACUGUUUCAAAUGCUGUGCUGUUCAGAAUGGAGGGCAGGAGAUGGGUAAAAUGAUACAGCCAUUAUUACAUCCCCCAUUGUUGCCUAGCACUGUGGCUGCUCACCAGAAUGGGCCUUAGAGACAGCCUUGUCCAAACUCCUCAUGGUUGCAGAUGGUGAAUCCAGGAUCCAGAAAGAUAAAUGUCUUUAGAAGUCUACACAGUUAGUUUUUUCCCCUAGUCUUUGUGUGUUUCUUGGUGGAACUGGAAAAGAGACGUGGGAGAAUUUGGGAGCUCACCUAGAGAUGAAAUUUUCUUGGAGAUGAUCAAGUUACCAGCAAGAGAAGGUUGGACACAACACUUUGUUGAAUAUUAUUGCUGGGUGAGCUGGAAAGGAACCAGUAGUUACAUGGUAGCCUUUGAGUCCUUGUGAUCAGUUACAUUGUUCCCAAACUGCCAAUCUGCUGUCACAGGAUACAUUGUUCCCAAACUGCCAAUCUGCAUGUUCAUGGAGACAGAAGAGAAAGCUGGAAAGUGGCUGGUCCUUUGAUAAUGGGAUUCAAGCCAGACCGAGAGUUUUACUUUCUUUUGCUGGGGGAAUUCGAGAACUACCUUGAAUGUUAUUCCACCCAGAAGAAAAAAGACUUAGAAUUUUCCAACAAAACGACCAUCCUCGGAGAAGCCAGCAGAAACGGCAUAGGAGCAUUUUCUGAACUUCACAGAAACAGGAUGGUAAGGGUGCCCUGCUCUUGGCUGGAUUCCAGAGAGCACAUUUGUAUAAAAAUGUUCCCAUUAUGGAGUGUGACAUCUAUUAAUGGAGCACCAUAUGCACCAGAGCCUCUCCUUCGCCACUGCCACCGCCGCUGCCGCCUCACAACCUGAAGUGACGGAGUAGCUUUAAACUAUCACUAAAAAAUGAAACUAAGUUAAAAAAAAAAAGGAAGACAUCUGCUUGUCACCAGGAGAGAUCUGCAGAGCUGCUUGAUAAUAGAAAAGUCAAGGAAUCCUAUACAAGCCAAGGAAACCCAUCUUGCAAAUAGAAACAUUCCCCUGAAAAACAAGUUUUCAAAAACGUUGGGCCGUGUUUCUUUCCCUGGCAUUAUUGAUGCUAAAGUGGUAUAGGAUCUGGGAUCUAGGUUUUCAUUUGUUUUGUCUUUUAACUUUGUUUGACACAGGGUGAAAGAGUUAAGAAUGCACCACAGGUUGGUAUGUGGGAG
RNAcentral lists this long non-coding RNA (1492 nucleotides) under Mus spicilegus (steppe mouse). Its description in RNAcentral is "lncRNA (ENSMSIG00000018277.1)". The record is from RNAcentral. Lineage: Eukaryota; Metazoa; Chordata; Mammalia; Rodentia; Muridae.